ACGGCAGGAAGUAAAUUUGGGGAAGUAGUACUAAUAGGCAGCAGCAAUGGGUGAUGUUGUGCAGCCAAACUAGAUCCUCCGGCUAAUGCAUUCACAUUUUGGUGUUGCGCUUGCUGCUGAAUGGGAAGGGAUCCAACCAAACUCUGUGGUGGCGGAGGAAAACGUUGCUGUUGAAAAUGAGAAACUCCUCCUGAGGACCCAACUAAUCCUGGCCAAUAAUUAGGCACAGCAGGCCCACUGAUAUUUAAAGGUGGCGGAGGAAGUGACGAGCCCCAAAGGCUAGAACUUGGCAGCAACGGAUUGGGGGGCAGAUUCACUAAUAAAGGUG
RNAcentral lists this long non-coding RNA (328 nucleotides) under Capsicum annuum. RNAcentral's name for it is "long non-coding RNA (CANN_LNC021832)". Lineage: Eukaryota; Viridiplantae; Streptophyta; Magnoliopsida; Solanales; Solanaceae. The record is from RNAcentral.